GACCUUGUGCUUCACUCCGUGC
RNAcentral lists this non-coding RNA (22 nucleotides) under Arabidopsis thaliana (thale cress). Lineage: Eukaryota; Viridiplantae; Streptophyta; Magnoliopsida; Brassicales; Brassicaceae. The record is from RNAcentral.